This 254-nucleotide ribosomal RNA is filed under the name uncultured bacterium. RNAcentral describes it as "partial 16S ribosomal RNA". It matches the Rfam family "Bacterial small subunit ribosomal RNA", at positions 524 to 776 of the family's 1533-position model. The record is from RNAcentral.
UACGUAGGGUGCGAGCGUUGUCCGGAAUUAUUGGGCGUAAAGAGCUCGUAGGCGGUGUGUCACGUCGGCCGUGAAAACCUGCAGCUUAACUGUGGGCGUGCGGUCGAUACGGGCAUCACUGGAGUUCGGCAGGGGAGACUGGAAUUCCUGGUGUAGCGGUGAAAUGCGCAGAUAUCAGGAGGAACACCGAUGGCGAAGGCAGGUCUCUGGGCCGAAACUGACGCUGAGGAGCGAAAGCGUGGGUAGCAAACAGG